UACACUCCUACGGGAGGCAGCAGUGGGGAAUUUUGGACAAUGGGCGAAAGCCUGAUCCAGCCAUGCCGCGUGCAGGAUGAAGGCCUUCGGGUUGUAAACUGCUUUUGUACGGAACGAAACGGCCUUUUCUAAUAAAGAGGGCUAAUGACGGUACCGUAAGAAUAAGCACCGGCUAACUACGUGCCAGCAGCCGCGGUAAUACGUAGGGUGCAAGCGUUAAUCGGAAUUACUGGGCGUAAAGCGUGCGCAGGCGGUUAUGUAAGACAGUUGUGAAAUCCCCGGGCUCAACCUGGGAACUGCAUCUGUGACUGCAUAGCUAGAGUACGGUAGAGGGGGAUGGAAUUCCGCGUGUAGCAGUGAAAUGCGUAGAUAUGCGGAGGAACACCGAUGGCGAAGGCAAUCCCCUGGACCUGUACUGACGCUCAUGCACGAAAGCGUGGGGAGCAAACAGGAUUAGAUACCCUGGUAGUCCCA
Molecule: ribosomal RNA, 474 nt
Filed under: uncultured organism
Description: partial 16S ribosomal RNA
Rfam family: Bacterial small subunit ribosomal RNA
Source: RNAcentral